Molecule: ribosomal RNA, 386 nt
Filed under: Klebsiella pneumoniae
Lineage: Bacteria; Pseudomonadati; Pseudomonadota; Gammaproteobacteria; Enterobacterales; Enterobacteriaceae
Description: bacterial LSU rRNA
Rfam family: Bacterial large subunit ribosomal RNA
Source: RNAcentral
GCCAAUCAAACCGGGAGAUAGCUGGUUCUCCCCGAAAGCUAUUUAGGUAGCGCCUCGUGAACUCAUCUUCGGGGGUAGAGCACUGUUUCGGCUAGGGGGUCAUCCCGACUUACCAACCCGAUGCAAACUACGAAUACCGAAGAAUGUUAUCACGGGAGACACACGGCGGGUGCUAACGUCCGUCGUGAAGAGGGAAACAACCCAGACCGCCAGCUAAGGUCCCAAAGUCAUGGUUAAGUGGGAAACGAUGUGGGAAGGCACAGACAGCCAGGAUGUUGGCUUAGAAGCAGCCAUCAUUUAAAGAAAGCGUAAUAGCUCACUGGUCGAGUCGGCCUGCGCGGAAGAUGUAACGGGGCUAAACCAUGCACCGAAGCUGCGGCAGCGAC